This 87-nucleotide ribosomal RNA is filed under the name Scrophularia crenophila. Its description in RNAcentral is "partial 18S ribosomal RNA". It matches the Rfam family "Eukaryotic small subunit ribosomal RNA". Lineage: Eukaryota; Viridiplantae; Streptophyta; Magnoliopsida; Lamiales; Scrophulariaceae. The record is from RNAcentral.
UAGAAGUCCACUGAACCUUAUYAUUUAGAGGAAGGAGAAGUCGUAACAAGGUUUCCGUAGGUGAACCUGCGGAAGGAUNAUUGUCGA